Molecule: non-coding RNA, 949 nt
Organism: Lactuca sativa (garden lettuce)
Lineage: Eukaryota; Viridiplantae; Streptophyta; Magnoliopsida; Asterales; Asteraceae
Source: RefSeq, a predicted model, not a curated record
CUUACAAAACUCUAUGUAAAAUAUUAGUAAGAUACAACCAAACCAAACCAAGCUAACGGUGUUGAUAGUUACAUAACUACAUAAGGGACCUUCUCGCGCCCAAAUUUACGAAAAUUUCUCCCUCAAUCGGGUUUGGCGUCUGGAAUGGCGGAAGAAGCUCCGUCGAGUCCAGGCGGUUCCGGCGGGAGCGGGAGCCACGAGAAAGGAGGUGCGGGUGGGGAUCGGAGCCCUCGGUCGCCGUCGUCGAACGUUCUGGAGCUGGACGAGGACUUGUUCUUGCCGAUUGCGAAUGUCCGUCGGAUCAUAAAGAAGGGGAAGGUGUUACCCGUUGAUGCGAAGAUUGCGAAGGAUGCUAAACAGACUUAUCUCGAGUGUGUUUCUGUGUUCAUCAGCUUUAUCACCAGCGAGGCAAGUGACAAGUGUCGAAAGGACAAGAGGCAAACCCUUAAUGGUGAUGAUCUGAUAUGGGCAAUGAACAGACUAGGGUUUCAAGAUUAUGUUAAUCCACUUAAGGCAUACCUUAACAAAUACAGACAAGUAACUCAGAUUGAGGUUAGUAAAGUUUUCAUCACACAUCAAUUAAUUAUCAUUUUAGUAUUAUAUAAGAAUAAGAUGAUUGAAUUGAUUUGUAUGAAUCCUGUUAAAGGGUGAGUACCUAAGAUCUAUAAAAGAUCAUGAUGUACGAUCUGUUAGAAAAGACGCUGCAACCUGAUCAAGAUAACACAGUUACAAUCACACAGCUGCAAGGCACAGAAUAGCAGCUAGCUUUUUGGAUGACAUUUCUUUUUUAUCUCAUUCUCAAGUUUGUUUGUUGUUAAGCUAUAUGUUCUAUGUAUUUGCUUGUAAUGUAGAGUAUAUAUAAUUAUAUGUAAUAUAAUGAGGUUUUUCAUUUAUACUUAAGAUAUUUAUAGCAUGUAAUAUCAAUGAGAAAACACAUGGUUUAUAGCAA